This 497-nucleotide ribosomal RNA is filed under the name uncultured bacterium. RNAcentral's name for it is "partial 16S ribosomal RNA". It matches the Rfam family "Bacterial small subunit ribosomal RNA", at positions 28 to 507 of the family's 1533-position model. The record is from RNAcentral.
GAUGAACGCUGGCGGCGUGCCUAAUACAUGCAAGUCGAGCGAACAGACGAGGAGCUUGCUCCUUUGACGUUAGCGGCGGACGGGUGAGUAACACGUGGGUAACCUACCUGUAAGACUGGGAUAACUUCGGGAAACCGGAGCUAAUACCGGAUAAUAUUUCGAACCGCAUGGUUCGAUAGUGAAAGAUGGCUUUGCUAUCACUUAUAGAUGGACCUGCGCCGUAUUAGCUAGUUGGUAAGGUAACGGCUUACCAAGGCAACGAUACGUAGCCGACCUGAGAGGGUGAUCGGCCACACUGGAACUGAGACACGGUCCAGACUCCUACGGGAGGCAGCAGUAGGGAAUCUUCCGCAAUGGGCGAAAGCCUGACGGAGCAACGCCGCGUGAGUGAUGAAGGUCUUCGGAUCGUAAAACUCUGUUAUUAGGGAAGAACAAACGUGUAAGUAACUGUGCACGUCUUGACGGUACCUAAUCAGAAAGCCACGGCUAACUACGUG